GCAAUCGUGGCCGAGUGGUUAAGGCGAUGGACUAGAAUCCAUCGGGGUCUCCCCGCACAGGUUUGAAUCCUGUCGACUGCG
This is a non-coding RNA of Ixodes scapularis (black-legged tick), 81 nucleotides long. The record is from Rfam. NCBI's taxonomy places the organism in Eukaryota, Metazoa, Arthropoda, Arachnida, Ixodida, Ixodidae.